CCGGGCGGCCUGGCGAUCGCAUGGCCCGCCAUGAGGAAAGUCCGAGCAUCACAGGGCAGGGUGCCGGCUAACGGCCGGUGGAGGCGACUCCAAGGAAAGUGCAACAGAAAUAGACCGCCGUCCUCGGACGGUAAGGAUGGAAAGGCGAGGUAAGAGCUCACCCGCGGCCCGGAAACGGAACCGCGCUGUAAACCCCACCCGAUGCAAGGUUCGAACAGAGGCAAUACGGCGGCCCGUCGUGCCUCUAAAGAGACCGCUUGAGGCGUGCGGCGACGCGCGUCCCAGAUAGAUGAUCGUCCAACGACAGAACUCGGCUUACGACCGCGCCGGCAGC
This 334-nucleotide RNase P RNA is filed under the name Candidatus Limiplasma stercoravium. RNAcentral describes it as "RNase P RNA component class A". It matches the Rfam family "Bacterial RNase P class A". From Rfam's summary of the family: Ribonuclease P (RNase P) is a ubiquitous endoribonuclease, found in archaea, bacteria and eukarya as well as chloroplasts and mitochondria. Lineage: Bacteria; Bacillati; Bacillota; Clostridia; Eubacteriales. The record is from RNAcentral.